UACGUAGGGUGCGAGCGUUAAUCGGAAUUACUGGGCGUAAAGCGUGCGCAGGCGGUUUGUUAAGACAGAUGUGAAAUCCCCGGGCUUAACCUGGGAACUGCAUUUGUGACUGGCAAGCUAGAGUAUGGUAGAGGGGGGUAGAAUUCCACGUGUAGCAGUGAAAUGCGUAGAGAUGUGGAGGAACAUCUGUGGCGAAGGCGGCCACCUGGACCAGCACUGACACUGAGGCACGAAAGCGUGGGGAGCAAACAGG
RNAcentral lists this ribosomal RNA (253 nucleotides) under uncultured bacterium. RNAcentral's name for it is "partial 16S ribosomal RNA". It matches the Rfam family "Bacterial small subunit ribosomal RNA", at positions 524 to 776 of the family's 1533-position model. The record is from RNAcentral.